Molecule: transfer RNA, 73 nt
Organism: Prevotella sp. CAG:5226
Lineage: Bacteria; Pseudomonadati; Bacteroidota; Bacteroidia; Bacteroidales; Prevotellaceae
Rfam family: tRNA
About the family: Transfer RNA (tRNA) molecules are approximately 80 nucleotides in length. Their secondary structure includes four short double-helical elements and three loops (D, anti-codon, and T loops).
Source: Rfam
GACUUGCUAGCUCAGUUGGUAGAGCACAACACUUUUAAUGUUGGGGUCUUGGGUUCGAACCCCAAGCAAGUCA